CAAACCAAGUACGCGGAAGAUCGCGGCAAUGGAUCCAAAUGCCGCCUAGUUCCGGAAUUGCUUGGACACGUCCGCUUUCCAUUCCACUCACUCCUCGCCGCUUUCCUUUCUCCCCAUUGCACUGCCUUCCUUUCCGCAUCCAAAGCCUGCAACAGCAACGGCAACGGCAACGGCAACGGCAAACCCCCAUUUCUAAACCGCUUCCAUCUCCUUCCGACGGACUCGCUGCCUCUGGACUCAACCUUACUCCCAAUGGCUCUGUCGCAGCCGUCGCCGUUGGCUUCCACGUUUCCAGUUCGCGAAGACUGUUGGACUUUGGACGAUACUUCCACUCUCGUCGAAGCCUGGGGUGAACGUCAUCUCGACUUGAACCGCGGCAGCCUUAGGUAUACACACUGGCAAGAGGUCGCCGACGCUGUCAACUCCUGUCAUAAUCAUGAGAGGAAGUCAAUUCGUACGGCUAUUCAGUGUAAAAACCGUAUCGAUACGCUUAAGAGGAAGUACAAGAUCGAGAAGGCGAGAAUUCAAGAAUCCGGUGGAACGUACGUCAGCGCUUGGCCGUUCUUCUCUUGUCUCAACAGUCUUAUAGGCAACAGCCAUAAGUCUUCGACGCCGGCCGCCGUUUCUUACUGUAAAGCCUUGACAGCCACGACUCCAGGGAUGUCGCUGUUCCCGAAAAUUCCGGUUGGUCCUCGAUCCGGGACUAAGAAACGUAGUUUGAGUCACGUCUACGGGAGUUUCUGCAAUUCGCACCUUAGCCAGGAUUUAAACUCGAAAGAUGAUGAAGGAAAGGACGGUAUGGAUUCCGAGAAUCAUCUCUCGAGUCCGAGGUUCAAGGACCGAGACGUAGGGUACAGGAAACUGGCUGACGCAAUAGGGACGAUUGCCGAUAUAUUUGAGAGAGUGGAGGUUGCAAAACAGAGGCACAUGGUAGAAUUGGAGAUGCAGCGGAUGCAGUUCGUGAAGGAUUUGGAGUACCAGAGAAUGCAACUACACAUGGAGAUGCACCUUCAGAUGCAAAAAAUCAAGUGCUCCAGGCGAGAUUCAGGAGCUGGAAUCAAGAGGAUGGACUCCACUGGAAAAUCUUCUUUGACAUGGUCAUCCACAAACUUUGAAGAAGAUUGUUACUCGUAGUCAACAACAUAGCAAAGACGCAAAGACUUUUUUUUAUCCGAAAGAGAGAAAAAGUAGUACAGACAUGGCAGUUUAGUUCUUUUUUUUUUUUUUAAAAAAAGCACACAUCCUCUCACCCUCGAUGCUGGUUCCAAACUCUCGUGAUUUUCAGCUUGUUUUGGCCGAAGGAUUUUGUGGAGCUGAGGUUUGGAUUAAUCAGCAUUUCUUGUGAAGUUUCCAACAUCUUACGUGAAAAAGAAUUACAGCCUCCUGUUACACGUGCAAAUGCAGGGGUAUUCUUGUAAAUUCAGGAAAUAUUCUCACGUGAGAAAGUGGCUUAUGUUAUGCCUUGCUUUUGACCUGUGCA
This is an RNA transcript of Cucurbita maxima (winter squash), 1480 nucleotides long. It is a transcript of the gene named trihelix transcription factor ASIL1-like, with no coding region annotated. NCBI's taxonomy places the organism in Eukaryota, Viridiplantae, Streptophyta, Magnoliopsida, Cucurbitales, Cucurbitaceae. The transcript has 4 exons. The record is from RefSeq and is a predicted model, not a curated record.